AUUGUUCGGGAACACCGGCUAAGCACGUGCCAGUAGCAACGGUAAGACGUGCGGUGUCAGUUUAAAGCAUCAUAACUAGGCGGUAAGCGCGUCACUGCGUAGUAGUGACUCUAAACGUUGGGUAAUACUUAGAGAAUCAAUCAAAUGAGAAUAUGCUAAGUGGAAAGCCGAGGGCGAAGGCACCAACGAGAGAGUGACUGAAGCGUCAACGCGAAAGCUUGGGGAGCGAACCGGAUUGGAUACCCGCAGUAGUCCAAGCCGUCAACCAAUUAUAGUAAAGUACUAUAACGCCUGGCGACACGGCGGCAACGCCCGUAGUCAAAGCAAUUGACAGUUUUAGGGAUGCGCGGUGGAAUAUGCUUUUUAAUUCGGAGCUACGCGCAAAAUCUUACCACAUUUUUAAUA
This 405-nucleotide ribosomal RNA is filed under the name Pleodorina starrii. RNAcentral describes it as "small subunit ribosomal RNA". It matches the Rfam family "Bacterial small subunit ribosomal RNA", at positions 479 to 987 of the family's 1533-position model. The record is from RNAcentral. Lineage: Eukaryota; Viridiplantae; Chlorophyta; Chlorophyceae; Chlamydomonadales; Volvocaceae.